Mauremys reevesii (Reeves's turtle) is the source of this 5212-nucleotide long non-coding RNA. RefSeq lists it as uncharacterized. The record is from RefSeq and is a predicted model, not a curated record. The transcript is spliced from 3 exons. NCBI's taxonomy places the organism in Eukaryota, Metazoa, Chordata, Testudines, Geoemydidae.
CGUACAGCCGGGGAGGGGGCGGGUGAUCGUGCCCAGCAGGAGAGACGCUGGGGGUGGGCGGAGGCGCCACGGUGAUGGGCACCGCGCGAAAUGGCGGGAGGGCGCGUCGCGAGGCUGCAGCCCGCCCCCCGGGGCUGGGUUUCAGUUACGCCGGGGCUGCAGCCGAGUUCAGCAAACUCGUGUUGUUGAAGUGGCGCCGCUGGGUGCGUGAGGCGCAGAUCGCUAAAGCUGGCCUAGGGCGACUCGGCCUUACCCCGGCCAGGGGCGGGGAGCGACCCUAACGUGCUGCUUUACGCGGGCAAAGGCCGCGGCAGAUCCCAUUUGCCUAAUGUAACUACAAUUUUUUUUUAAUUGGACUUUGGGAGACAUAACUUCUUUUAGCAACAGGACUGUCACAGGAUUCAAGAUGCAGGAUCAUACAGAAUGACAAAAGAGACCCACACCCAAAUUUCUCUCACACACAUUUGUUUAGUCUCCCCUGAAACUGCUGGCUUGUUUCCCCAGCCCAGAAAAGACUUACAGACCUAUGUGUCUCCUUAAAGACACAAUUUUAUUCAACAAAAAACUUAGGCAAAACAUCAAAACAAGAAGCAGUUCCUUUGCCCACCAUGAGGCUUUUCCUUUUGUCUCUUUCACUGCCAAAGGAUGCCAUACCCUUACCUUCAAUUUCCACCCCACUCUCUCCCUUGCAGGAGCCCAUCUCCCUCAAUUUAGCCACUUGCUUGCUUUUAUAUUAACUUUCUCCCUUCCCAGCUGGGUCUGAUAAAUGAACGGGGCAGGCUGGCCUCACACCUAGUAAGCCACCCCAUUACAACACUGAAAGUUUGUGCAGCAAGUGAGAGCAAGUCCACAGAGCAUUUUAGCAAAUGAAGCAGCAGUUUUGAAUAGGUUCCUCAAAUUAAUGUGGGGUUAGUAGAGUUGCUUAAGGAUGGCAGGAGGUAUGGUCACAUAUUUAUCCUGAGAUGUCAAGGCUGAGAGGUAGCUUUUGGGGAAGCCACAGAAGGGAGUUGCAACAAUUAAGUUGAGUUGAGGAAGGAGACAGAGUUGUGUUUGCAGAAGCUUUUUUUCUCCCUUUGGUCCAAGCCCUCUUGCCUCAAACAUUUAGCUGAAAGAAAAUGAGGUAGAACCACAAGCUUACUAGGAUAAAAACAGAGAGACUGGACAGGAAGGCGUUAAGGAUGUUAUAGAUACAUACAGUCUCCUGUGGGCAGAAGAUAAGAGGACAGACAUCCAUGCAGAUAUGACUGUAUCAACACUCUUUCAUAGGCCACGUCUACAUCACAAACUUUGAUCAACGCGAGUGACAUCAGCAUACAGCUGCCGAAGUUAAUGCAUCGCUUGUGCAUUCAUACUUGGCAGCUUGUGUAAGUGCUGCAUGUUCUCAUCAGGAGUGCUUGUGUUGAUGCAAAGUGUGAUACACAACAGGUAAGAAUCCCAGUGCCAAGUACCACGCUCCAGUGCAAUACCUUCUGGGGAAGUUUUGGCAAUGUGUUGUGAGAUACAAAUAACUUACCGAAGGAUCCCUGGGUGCUAAGGGUCAAGUUCCCAGCAUGUAAUGUUCUCCAUCUCAUAAUGCCAUGCAUAUCCCAUCAUUUUUUUAUUUUUUUUUAAGAUCCCACAAACUCGCAUGACACUGUUCAGUGUCUAUCAUGUCUGACAGAAGUACAGAGGCCUGCAGAGCUCUGUACUGUCCUCAUGAACAUUACAAAUACACAGGAUGCACAAUUCUCCAUUAUUAUCAGAGCAGCAAAACCAACCACAACAAUGGGGGACAUGACAAUUUCUUUGAAGACAGAUUGCUGAGUGACACAGCAGAAAACAAUUCAAGGUUGUUGGUGGCAUUCACUGAGUUCUUUUUUACCAGACUGAGCCUAAAUUUAAGUGUCUUUCAUGUGCAUGUCAGUGUCUAUAUAUCUGCCAGAAGAUGGGUGAGCAUCUUCAAGAACUUAAAGGAAGGGUGCCUAUCUGCCUAUUGUCAAAGUAGUUCAUGAUUUUGGGAUCCUGAUACACAUAUCUGGACCCCUAGAUAGCAGCAGCCAGAAACAAUCUUUCACCUUCAGCUGACCAAGCCAGCAUGCAUUUUUUUUUGCCAUGUGCUUUUGUUAACAUGAGGUUAGCUUAUUGCAAUAUGCUUGGACUGGGUCAAUACAGAAGGUCAUUUGGAACCACCAGCUAGUGCAAGUUAUAACUGUCCACCUUUUAGGCAGAGGAGAGAAAGUUGGCAUAUUAUAUCUGGAUUCUUUGUUGGGAGCAGGGGUGGGAACUCAGGGUUCUGGUUACUGUCUCUCGAACUCCAAGAACCUUAGUAAAACAGUGGGAAAAGAAUGAUUGAUGGUAGGCCCCAUUAUCUCAGAGCCUCUCUCUCCCACGAUACCUCCCCACAGCAAACUGCACUCUGAAGAAAUACAAUGGUUAUCAGUGCCAAUGGGGAGAUUCAUGGAGAAGUAGGAAGGAAAGUGCUCCCAAUAACAAGACCACCGCCUCUGCAAUUCAGUCCUGUCAAAUCAGGGUGACCAGACAGCAAGUGUGAAAAAUUGGGAUGGGAGUGGGGGGGGGGGGUAAUAGGAGCCUAUAUAAGAAAAAGACCCCAAAAUCGGGACUGUCCCUAUAAAAUCGACAUCUGGUCACCCUAUGUCAGAUGUAUCUCUGAACUCAACUUAAUCCAUUUUUAGGAAGAAUCUAGUGGUGUCUUGUCUAUACUUGCACUCCCAAUGGUGAAGCUGAAGCAGUGGUAGCAAUGGCAGGAGACUGUAUAGGCAGAAUAUAUCUGGUGUAGAUAAGGGCUAAGUGAAAGUAAGUAAAUAAGCCACCUCUCCCUCUUCAAGCUUCCCACUGCAGGCCUUUGAAUCUACUAACUGCUAUCUGUUCCCGUAGAUCCUCUCAGAGGAGAUGUCCUCACUGCUGCAGGGGGGAACAAAGUAUAUACUUUCUGUCCUUGAGAAGCUGUUUGGUACCAUUCUAACCUACAUAAAGUACCCCCAGGUACAGUGACGGAUACAUUAUACUUGUAAUAAUAUUAACAUUUAAAUCCAAGAAGAUUAUUAAAUUUUCACAGAAUGCCUAGGAGGCUUUAGAAAACUGUCCUACGCAAAAAAAAGUAUAUAUAUAGUCACACACUACAAUGGUCCCCAGCAGUGUCAUUACAGUUAAUUCCCUCUCCGUGCUCCAUGAUAGUUUGAUCCUGUACUUUUCUUUAAAUUUUUAUAUGUCAGGUUUUAACCCCAAAGAAGUUUGUCUUGGAACUCAAUUCUUACAAAAACUUUGUUAAUAUAGGGUUAGGAAGAGAAGAGGCAACAAUAUUUCUUCAUAUUUGUCAUAUUUUAGCAAGGACAGAGUAGAUACCACAAACCUCCCCCCCCCCACAAAAGCUGACUAUUAGAACAUUUUUGGAGAAUUAUUUCAACUUUGGACACCUGCCUUUGUUUAAAAAAAAACAAAACAAAAAAAUGUAAAUGACAGGAUGAUGGUUGGAAGCUGGCACUGUAAUUUUUUCCCCUAAUGCCAUUUUGAAAUAACUAUAGUAGUGAAACAGAUUUUUUUUUCCAAUCUACUGAAAAUUUAUAAACUCUAGGAUGGAAAGAAAAUCUCCACCUAGCCAAUCUGUUAAAAAUCCUUAAAUUGAUUUUCUCUAGUGGAGGCAAAACCUCGUUCAGCUAACCAUAAAUACAACUCAGGAAAAUCAGUCUGCUGAUCAAAGUUCCAAGAGGAUGUGGGAAAUGAUUAUUUGGUUUCCAUUAUUUGGAAACAGUCAUUUCCAGUGGUUUCUGAGUAAGCCCCAGUGAAAAUCUGUCUGGUUUCAGUUUUUCCUUGAAAAUGAGGAUCAAGCAAGUUUGUAAAGGAAUACUACACAAACCUUCAUUCAGGCUUCAAUUCCAGAGGGUACUUAAGUAUGUACCAGACUUCAAGCAUUCAAAUAGUCCCAUUGACUAAGUAUGUAAACAGUCCCAUUCAAGACAACAUGACUAUUCCCAUGUUUAAAGUUUGGCAUAAACUUAAACCCCUUCCUGAAUUUCAGUCUCUGUCACAUGCACUAUUGGGAAAUAUGGUGUUGAACUCUUAAACCAAAUAAGAAAAAGAACAUUCACUAUUCUAUAGAAGACUGAGCUUGACGGGAAAUCUCAGGUGUUGCCCUGACAAGACCAAGAGUUGAUACUUUUUCUAUAUGCUUAAAUUUCUGGGGCCAACAUCUCAAUGGGAAGUGCCUAAGUUUAAGCAUCCAGUUUUGAAAAAUCUUGGCUUUUAACAUCAUACAUAUUCUUUCUUGAAUGAACCCAGACAGAAGGUAUUUACAUGCCAGAAAUGCUAAACAACGCCCCUUCAUGCUUCGGCCACCAUUCCAAGGACAUGCUUCCAUCCUGAUGAUGCUAGUUAAAAAAAUAAUGUGUUAAUUAAAUUUGUGACUGAACUCCUUGGGGGAGAAUUGUAUGUCUCCUGUUCUGUUUUACACACAUUCUGCCAUAUAUUUCAUGUUCUAGCAGUUUCGGAUGAUGACCCAGCACAUGUUUAUUUUAACAACAACACUUUCACUGGAGAUUUGACAAAACGCAAAGAAGGUACCAAUGUGAGAUUUCUAAAAAUAGCUACAGCACUGGACUCAAGGUUUAGGAAUCUGAAAUGCCUUCCAAAAUCUGAGAGGGAUGAGGUGUGGAGUGUUUUUUCAAAAGUUUGAAAAGAGCAACACUCUGAUGCGGAGAACCCGAACCACCAAAGAGAAAUUUAACCUGCAGGUGGCAUCUGAGUCAAAUGAUGAAAUGAACAUGCGUCAGUCCACUCUGCUUCGGAUCGUUAUCAAGCAGAACCCGCCAUUUGCAUAGACGUAUGUCCUCUGGAAUGGUGGUUGAAACAUAUGAAUCUUUAGCGCAUCUGGCCCAUAAAUAUCUUGCGAUGCUGGCUACAACAGUGCCAUGUGAAUGCCUGUUCUCACUUUCAGGUAACAUUGUAAACAAGAAGCAAGCAGCUAUGUGCUGCAAAUUGUAAUCAAACUUGUUUGUCUGAGCAAUUGGUUGAACAAGAAGUAGGUAUGAAUGGAUUCAUAGGCUCUAAAGUUUUACAUCAUUUUGUCUUUGAGUGCAGUUAUGUAACAAAAGAAAUCUACAUUUGAAAGUUACACUUUCACAACAAAACAAUUGCACUACAGCACAUGUAUGAGGUGAAUUGAAAAAUACUAUUUCUUUUGUUUUUUACAGUGCAAAUAUUUGUAAUAAAAAUAAAU